ACUAAUCUGUGCGCUCAGUUUCUGCAAUCAGUGCGCGCAGAUUGUGUCGACAGGUUGGACGCAUGGUGUGUGUGGUAUCCGGUUUUAUUGUGAAAGGCUAAACAGGAAGUGAAUACUGUGAGUGCGGAGACAACUUGAUGUUUCGGGGUUUAGUUGUCGCUUGAAUCCUUGCCUGAGGACACAACCGUAUGAAGCCGCAUCUACAAGGCAAAUGAAUCCCUCCCGUCCCCCGUUUUGUUGUGAAAGAGAACAAACAUCUGAGAACCGCUGGAGAAAACCUCAGAGCGGCUUGCUGCAGAGAAAUGUCCCCGUGAGGAGAGCUUCAUCUGCAGAAUGAUGGGAGCCGCAGCCCCGCUCUUACUCUGAAAUGUUUCAAACUUUAUUCAGAUAUUUCUGUGGUGUAAUAAACGUUUUUGAAAGAGUAA
Long non-coding RNA from Austrofundulus limnaeus, 425 nucleotides. RefSeq lists it as uncharacterized. Lineage: Eukaryota; Metazoa; Chordata; Actinopteri; Cyprinodontiformes; Rivulidae. The transcript has 2 exons. The record is from RefSeq and is a predicted model, not a curated record.